Molecule: ribosomal RNA, 273 nt
Filed under: uncultured bacterium
Lineage: Bacteria
Description: partial 16S ribosomal RNA
Rfam family: Bacterial small subunit ribosomal RNA
Source: RNAcentral
UACGUAGGGUGCGAGCGUUAAUCGGAAUUACUGGGCGUAAAGCGUGCGCAGGCGGUUGUGUAAGACAGGCGUGAAAUCCCCGGGCUCAACCUGGGAACUGCGCUUGUGACUGCACAGCUAGAGUACGGCAGAGGGGGGUGGAAUUCCACGUGUAGCAGUGAAAUGCGUAGAGAUGUGGAGGAACACCGAUGGCGAAGGCAGCCCCCUGGGCCGAUACUGACGCUCAUGCACGAAAGCGUGGGUAGCAAACAGGAUUAGAUACCCCCGUAGUCC